This 253-nucleotide ribosomal RNA is filed under the name uncultured bacterium. RNAcentral describes it as "partial 16S ribosomal RNA". It matches the Rfam family "Bacterial small subunit ribosomal RNA", at positions 524 to 776 of the family's 1533-position model. The record is from RNAcentral.
UACGUAGGCCCCAAGCGUUAUCCGGAAUUACUGGGCGUAAAGAGUGCGUAGGCGGAGUGGAAAGUCAGACGUGAAAGGCCGGGGCUUAACCCCGUGUUUGCGUCCGAAACUCCCACCUUGAAUCGGGGAGAGGUAAGCAGAAUAGUAUGAGUAGGGGUGCAAUCCGUUGAUACAUACUAGAAAUACCAAAAGCGAAGGCAGCUUACUGGAACCGCAUUGACGCUGAGGCACGAAAGCGUGGGGAGCGAAAAGG